UUGUGUUGUAGUUGUGUUGUCAUGUUGUAUUGUAGUAACCCUCAACUGUAUUUAAUGGUGUUAUGUAGUUGUGUUGUCAUGUUGUAUUGUAGUAACCCUCAACUGUAUUUAAUGGUGUUAUGUAGUUGUGUUGUCAUGUUGUAUUGUAGUAGGCCCAAAUACUUUUUUCUGAUGAUGGAGAGAGACACCAGACAGGACACAGAGACAGCAACAGAGGAAUAGGAUAUGAUGGAGAGAGACACCAGACAGGACACAGAGACAGCAACAGAGUAGGAUAUGACGGAGUGAGACACCAGACAGGACACAGAGACAACAGAAGAAUAGGAUAUGAUGGAGAGAGACACCAAACAAGACACAGAGACAGCAACAGAAGAAUAGGAAAUGAUGGAGAGAGACACCAGACAAGACAGAGACAGCAACAGAAGAAUAGGAUGUGAUGGAGAGAGACACCAGACAAGACACAGAGACAGCAACAGAGUAGGAUAUGACGGAGUGAGACACCAGACAAGACACAGAGACAGCAACAGAGGAAUAGGAUAUGAUGGAGAGAGACACCAGACAAGACACAGAGACAGCAACAGAAGAAUAGGAUGUGAUAGAGAGAAACACCAGACAAGACACAGAGACAGCAACAGACGACACAGAGAAAGUGAUGGAGAGAGACAGAAGAAUAGAGUUCCAGACAGUUGUAGAAUGUAUGCCAAGACACAUUGUAAGAGCUAUAAAGAGAGAGGGAGGGAGAGAGAACAGGCAGAACCUGAUAUGUAAAUGAGCAGAGCAAAUGAAACUCACUUUUGACGACCUGAUGAUCAACCAGACUGUGUUUCUAUUGAGAGAUAAAAGGCUGGUUGAAUGAGUUGCCUAUGAAAGCUACUUCAUCUGUAAGAAAACAGGCGUCUGCACCAGUGACUGGGUCAGUGCUCUAAAAUGAGUCUCUCUGGGGAGAGAGAGGAGGGGGGCCCUGCCUCUAAAAUGAGUCUCUCUGGGGAGAGAGAGGAGGGGGGCCCUGCCUCUAAAAUGAGUGUCUCUGGGGAGAGAAAGGAGGGUGGCCCUGCCUCUAAAAUGAGUCUCUCUGGGGAACAUGACACUAAAGC
This is a long non-coding RNA of Oncorhynchus nerka (sockeye salmon), 1094 nucleotides long. RefSeq lists it as uncharacterized. The transcript is spliced from 3 exons. The record is from RefSeq and is a predicted model, not a curated record. NCBI's taxonomy places the organism in Eukaryota, Metazoa, Chordata, Actinopteri, Salmoniformes, Salmonidae.